Long non-coding RNA from Etheostoma spectabile (orangethroat darter), 128 nucleotides. RefSeq lists it as uncharacterized. The record is from RefSeq and is a predicted model, not a curated record. NCBI's taxonomy places the organism in Eukaryota, Metazoa, Chordata, Actinopteri, Perciformes, Percidae. The transcript is spliced from 3 exons.
GUGAAAUGACAUCACAUGGUAUGUGAGGGGCCCUGAAGCUCAACGCCAGGCCAAUGCAAAUAAGUCAAAUAAACUGAACGGGUCCCGAUGACCCGAAGCACAACACAAGAGUAAUAAAAAGGUUUUUA